CCUACGGGUGGCAGCAGUGAGGAAUAUUGGUCAAUGGCCGGAAGGCUGAACCAGCCAUGCCGCGUGAAGGUCAGUGCCCUAUGGGCGUUAAACUUCUUUUGUGCGGGAGCAAUAAUGGUCACGUGUGGCCAGACGAGAGUACCGUACGAAUAAGCAUCGGCUAACUCCGUGCCAGCAGCCGCGGUAAUACGGGGGAUGCAAGCGUUAUCCGGAUUUAUUGGGUUUAAAGGGUGCGUAGGCUGUGAUGUAAGUCAGUUGUGAAAGUUUGCGGCUCAACCGUAAAAUUGCCGUUGAAACUGGGGGGUUUGAGUAUGUUUGAGGCAGGCGGAAUGCGUGGUGUAGCGGUGAAAUGCUUAGAUAUCACGCAGAACCCCGAUUGCGAAGGCAGCCUGCCAAGCCAUGACUGACGCUGAUGCACGAAAGCGUGGGGAUCAAACAGGAUUAGAUACCCUAGUAGUC
This 459-nucleotide ribosomal RNA is filed under the name uncultured bacterium. RNAcentral's name for it is "partial 16S ribosomal RNA". It matches the Rfam family "Bacterial small subunit ribosomal RNA", at positions 338 to 795 of the family's 1533-position model. The record is from RNAcentral.